GUAUAUAAGCUCGUUCGGGAAAGAGAAUUGCUUAACUCACUGAAACAAAAUAAUGGCGAUAAGAGCUUUUUUGAUGGUGAUGUUUAUGUACAUGGGUCUCGCAUUUGCGGGAACAAAAGGAGAAAGGAAAUGUCGAGAGCCCUUACCAACUCCACUUCCUUAAACAGGGAAAUGCCACAUGGAAAAUGACCCCUUAACGUGAAUCAACAAUUAUUAUCCCUAAGAACUCCAUGACUUUCUGAAAACGUCUGAUUAACUAGGAAACACAGACUGUCAUGAGCACAUUGUUAUUGGCAGGAGAACUUAUACCAAAAUUCUACAUUUGAAAGGAUCGUUAGAUAAAAUUCUACUGUGUAUGUU
Molecule: long non-coding RNA, 360 nt
Organism: Penaeus monodon (black tiger shrimp)
Lineage: Eukaryota; Metazoa; Arthropoda; Malacostraca; Decapoda; Penaeidae
Exons: 3
Source: RefSeq, a predicted model, not a curated record